Molecule: non-coding RNA, 776 nt
Organism: Poecilia reticulata (guppy)
Lineage: Eukaryota; Metazoa; Chordata; Actinopteri; Cyprinodontiformes; Poeciliidae
Source: RefSeq, a predicted model, not a curated record
CAAAGCACAUUCUUAGGUCAGUUGCUUCGCUACUCUGUCACUUGACAUAAACUAUGGUUUUAUAUUGGCAUUAUGUCACCUUUGUUUGGUAUUUUUGCUCGGCUGACUUCUUUCAAAUCAGAGCUAGGUUGCUGUUAGCAUGACGCAACUUCAACAAUUGCCAAAAGCCGAACUUAGUAACCUAGCUGAGAUAGCCACUUUUCGCUACUUUUGGUAGCCGCUUUAGUGAAACUCCAACUUUAGGAGAUCUUUUGAGGCUAACUUAGCUGCUAAACCAACUGAACCAGUAGCACCAAACCCCAUGUUUACACAAACGCCACUGACUUCACCCAAACAAACGCUAGAAACACUCUUUCCAGCUCUAAGUGCCAACGGUUUAAUAAUUUAAAAGUACUCAAGACAACUGCCAGCUUGUUCUCGCCAACUAACCACAACAGGGAACAAAUGCAGGCUUUCCUCAAACGGGAAGCGGGCACAUACGACGACGCGGUCCGGUGUUUGGAGCCAUUUUUCCUGCAGCCUGCAUUUUUCCAUCCACUUGCACAAAGGAGACGUCAGUUCCUGUUGAGUUGGUCGGCGGAGUCGACCGACUUUUGGAUAGAAGUGUGGAAAGCGGCGUCUCUGCUCUAACAAGUUACAUGGAGAAACAGCGCCACUCCAUGGACAAAGGAAGGCAGUGCAUCGGUUGGAAAUUGUACGUGUUGAAGAAAACGGCCAUUAGACGAAUAGCAAAUUACCUUGCUUUUAAUAACUUUAAAAAAUGCUUCUGCACUUUA